RNAcentral lists this long non-coding RNA (210 nucleotides) under Octopus vulgaris (common octopus). The record is from RNAcentral. Lineage: Eukaryota; Metazoa; Mollusca; Cephalopoda; Octopoda; Octopodidae.
UUUUGUCCUGGUUUUCCUCCGUCAACCUGUACAUAACUGCACCUUCCAUUUUUUGUUGUUUUUGUCCUGCUUAAAGGCACGUUUCUUUCCUGCCAAGCUUACUGUUUAAACCAUGUUUGUGUUCUCCCAGUCAACAGCCUUAUAAUUACUGGUACUUUAAACUCUUCGGUUGCAUAUUUUUGUGAAUAAAAUCGUUUUUCUUUGGAAUAG